GACAGCAAUAUGAAGGCCAGGCUGAAGACUUUGCCGGAUUAGCUGAGAGGUGGUGCAUGGCCGUCGUCAGUUCGUACUGUGAAGCAUCCUGUUAAGUCAGGCAACGAGCGAGACCCACGCCCACAGUUGCCAGCGUACUCUCUGGAGUGACGGGUACACUGUGGGGACCGCCGCUGCUAAAGCGGAGGAAGGAAUGGGCAACGGUAGGUCAGUAUGCCCCGAAUAUCCCGGGCUACACGCGAGCUACAAUGGUUGGUACAAUGGGUAUCUACCCCGAAAGGGGACGGGAAUCUCCUAAAACCAAUCUUAGUUCGGAUUGAGGGCUGCAACUCGCCCUCAUGAAGCUGGAAUCCGUAGUAAUCGCGUUUCAACAGAACGCGGUGAAUACGUCCCUGCUCCUU
This 401-nucleotide ribosomal RNA is filed under the name uncultured Methanosaeta sp. Its description in RNAcentral is "bacterial SSU rRNA". It matches the Rfam family "Archaeal small subunit ribosomal RNA", at positions 938 to 1338 of the family's 1478-position model. Lineage: Archaea; Methanobacteriati; Methanobacteriota; Methanomicrobia; Methanotrichales; Methanotrichaceae. The record is from RNAcentral.